Molecule: ribosomal RNA, 736 nt
Filed under: Paraphaenops fadriquei
Lineage: Eukaryota; Metazoa; Arthropoda; Insecta; Coleoptera; Carabidae
Description: partial 16S ribosomal RNA
Rfam family: Bacterial large subunit ribosomal RNA (bases 1-549)
Source: RNAcentral
UUAAAUGGCUGCAGUAAUUUGACUGUACAAAGGUAGCAUAAUCAUUAGUUUUUUAAUUAAAAGCUUGUAUGAAAGGUUGGACGAAGUAGAAUCUGUCUCUUUUUAAUAUUAUUAGAAUUUAAUUUUUAAGUUAAAAAGCUUAAAUUUGUAUAAAAGACGAGAAGACCCUAUAGAGUUUUAUAAUUUUUAUUUUAUAAUUAAUUUAGAUUUAUUUAUUUUAUUUUAUAUAAAUUAUUUUAUUGGGGUAAUAUAAAGAUUAAAAAAAUUCUUUUUUUUAUUAGCCAUUAAUUUAUGAAAUUUUUAUGAUCCAUUGAUUUUGAUUAUAAGAUUAAAUUACCUUAGGGAUAACAGCGUAAUUUUUUUAGAGAGUUCUUAUCGAUAAAAAAGUUUGCGACCUCGAUGUUGGAUUAAAGAUUAAUUUAGGUGUAGAAGUUUAAAUUUUUGGUCUGUUCGACCAUUGAAUCUUUACAUGAUCUGAGUUCAAACCGGUGUAAGCCAGGUUGGUUUCUAUCUUUAUAAAGGGUUUAUAUUUUAGUACGAAAGGACCAAAUAUAUGAUAUAUUAAUAUCUAAUUAUUGAAUAUUAUUAAAUAUAAAUAUUAUUUUGGCAGAUUAGUGUGAUGAAUUUAGAAUUCAUAAAAGUAAAUAUUUUUACAAGUAAUACUUGUUUAUAUUAGAAGUAUUAAUUUCUUUAGUUUUUAUUAUUUUAUUAGUAAUUUGUGUUUUAGUGGGAGUAG